This 1075-nucleotide ribosomal RNA is filed under the name Massilia sp. Field_seedling_A49. Its description in RNAcentral is "bacterial SSU rRNA". It matches the Rfam family "Bacterial small subunit ribosomal RNA", at positions 56 to 1127 of the family's 1533-position model. Lineage: Bacteria; Pseudomonadati; Pseudomonadota; Betaproteobacteria; Burkholderiales; Oxalobacteraceae. The record is from RNAcentral.
UGCAGUCGAACGGCAGCACGGGGCAACCUGGUGGCGAGUGGCGAACGGGUGAGUAAUAUAUCGGAACGUACCCUGGAGUGGGGGAUAACGUAGCGAAAGUUACGCUAAUACCGCAUACGAUCUAAGGAUGAAAGUGGGGGAUCGCAAGACCUCAUGCUCCUGGAGCGGCCGAUAUCUGAUUAGCUAGUUGGUGGGGUAAAGGCCCACCAAGGCUUCGAUCAGUAGCUGGUCUGAGAGGACGACCAGCCACACUGGAACUGAGACACGGUCCAGACUCCUACGGGAGGCAGCAGUGGGGAAUUUUGGACAAUGGGCGCAAGCCUGAUCCAGCAAUGCCGCGUGAGUGAAGAAGGCCUUCGGGUUGUAAAGCUCUUUUGUCAGGGAAGAAACGGUGAAGGCUAAUAUCCUUUGCUAAUGACGGUACCUGAAGAAUAAGCACCGGCUAACUACGUGCCAGCAGCCGCGGUAAUACGUAGGGUGCAAGCGUUAAUCGGAAUUACUGGGCGUAAAGCGUGCGCAGGCGGUUUUGUAAGUUUGUCGUGAAAGCCCCGGGCUCAACCUGGGAAUUGCGAUGAAGACUGCAAGGCUUGAAUCUGGCAGAGGGGGGUAGAAUUCCACGUGUAGCAGUGAAAUGCGUAGAGAUGUGGAGGAACACCGAUGGCGAAGGCAGCCCCCUGGGUCAAGAUUGACGCUCAUGCACGAAAGCGUGGGGAGCAAACAGGAUUAGAUACCCUGGUAGUCCACGCCCUAAACGAUGUCUACUAGUUGUCGGGUUUUAAUUAACUUGGUAACGCAGCUAACGCGUGAAGUAGACCGCCUGGGGAGUACGGUCGCAAGAUUAAAACUCAAAGGAAUUGACGGGGACCCGCACAAGCGGUGGAUGAUGUGGAUUAAUUCGAUGCAACGCGAAAAACCUUACCUACCCUUGACAUGUACGGAAGGCCGGAGAGAUCUGGCUGUGCUCGAAAGAGAGCCGUAACACAGGUGCUGCAUGGCUGUCGUCAGCUCGUGUCGUGAGAUGUUGGGUUAAGUCCCGCAACGAGGGCAACCCUUUGUCAUUAGUUGCUACGAAAGG